Carassius auratus (goldfish) is the source of this 532-nucleotide long non-coding RNA. RefSeq lists it as uncharacterized. NCBI's taxonomy places the organism in Eukaryota, Metazoa, Chordata, Actinopteri, Cypriniformes, Cyprinidae. The transcript is spliced from 2 exons. The record is from RefSeq and is a predicted model, not a curated record.
AUGAGGAACACAGUUAUGCAAUUGUGGUUGGGUGAAUGAAGCUCACGCCUGCUUUGUCUGAAACAUCAGACACAUAAGCUGACCUGACAACAGAGGUAUCAGAUGUAUCAGCCCUCUUAGAUCACUCCUUACCUGGCAUAUGCCAAGAUCAGCGCUCUCUCCCCGGGAGGCUUGAUACCCUCUGAUACAUUUGGACCCUCAUCGCUGGGUGUUCAGACAUCAUUUCACAGGCUUGUACUAAAUGCACCAAAAGCUGCACCAUAGAGAAAUCAACCCCUCUCCAAACUGAAGCUCAGCUUAUCUAAUUGUGCGCAUACAAAUAGCUCUUUUAUGAGCUGGUUCUGUUUAUAUUUUUUACCCUGAGGAAACGUGUUAUAAUCAGGUAUACAUGAUGAAACCUAGAGAAAUGCAGGAUUCUAAUUGUGCUGUUAAAUUUAUGUAGUAAACCCUGCUGAAUGGACAGAGUGAUUUACAAAAAAAAUAAAAAAAGGAAUGAUAUUUUGCACUGGCAAAAGUGUAUACCUGAAAAGAA